This 284-nucleotide unclassified non-coding RNA is filed under the name Alexandrium tamarense. RNAcentral describes it as "partial 3' external transcribed spacer". It matches the Rfam family "Eukaryotic large subunit ribosomal RNA", at positions 2004 to 2243 of the family's 3401-position model. The record is from RNAcentral. Lineage: Eukaryota; Dinophyceae; Gonyaulacales; Pyrocystaceae.
UUCGCAUGCACACAACAACACCGGGCUUGUGUGCAUGAUCCAUUCAGUGGCGGGGCAGAUAGGGUUGAAUGGCACUCCGUGAUUGGAAUGGUAAGUCCAUUGGUGUUUGUGAACUUGAAAUGAUAAAUCUAUUGUAAACGACUUUGCUGUCAGUACUGAAGCGGACAAGGGGAAUCCGACUGUUUAAUUAAAACAUAGCAUUGUGAUGGCUUGAAAAGGUGUUGAUGCAAUGUGAUUUCUGCCCAGUGCUCUGAAUGUCAAAGUGAUGAAAUUCAAACAAGCGC